GACGGUACCUGAGGAAUAAGCAUCGGCUAACUCCGUGCCAGCAGCCGCGGUAAUACGGAGGAUGCAAGCGUUAUCCGGAAUGAUUGGGCGUAAAGGGUCCGCAGGUGGCAUUGUAUGUCUGCUGUUAAAGAGUCUGGCUCAACCAGAUAAAAGCAGUGGAAACUACAAAGCUAGAGUAUGGUCGGGGCAGAGGGAAUUCCUGGUGUAGCGGUGAAAUGCGUAGAUAUCAGGAAGAACACCGGUGGCGAAGGCGCUCUGCUAGGCCAAAACUGACACUGAGGGACGAAAGCUAGGGGAGCGAAUGGGAU
RNAcentral lists this ribosomal RNA (308 nucleotides) under Dolichospermum lemmermannii LO00801. Its description in RNAcentral is "bacterial SSU rRNA". It matches the Rfam family "Bacterial small subunit ribosomal RNA", at positions 471 to 778 of the family's 1533-position model. Lineage: Bacteria; Bacillati; Cyanobacteriota; Cyanophyceae; Nostocales; Aphanizomenonaceae. The record is from RNAcentral.